ACUCCUACGGGAGGCAGCAGGUGGGGAAUAUUGGCACAAUGGGCGCAAGCCUGAUGCAGCCAUGCCGCGUGUGUGAAGAAGGCCUUCGGGUUGUAAAGCACUUUCAGUCGUGAGGAAGGUAGUGUAGUUAACACCUGCAUUAUUUGACGUUACCUACAGAAGAAGCACCGGCUAACUCCGUGCCAGCAGCCGCGGUAAUACGGAGGGUGCGAGCGUUAAUCGGAAUUACUGGGCGUAAAGCGCAUGCAGGCGGCCUGUUAAGUCAGAUGUGAAAGCCCGGGGCUUAACCUCGGAAUUGCAUUUGAAACUGGCAGGCUAGAGUCUUGUAGAGGGGGGUAGAAUUCAGGUGUAGCGGUGAAAUGCGUAGAGAUCUGAAGGAAUACCAGUGGCGAAGGCCGGCCCCCUGGAC
RNAcentral lists this ribosomal RNA (409 nucleotides) under uncultured bacterium. RNAcentral describes it as "bacterial SSU rRNA". It matches the Rfam family "Bacterial small subunit ribosomal RNA", at positions 335 to 734 of the family's 1533-position model. The record is from RNAcentral.